RNA transcript from Sphaeramia orbicularis (orbiculate cardinalfish), 3656 nucleotides. RefSeq lists it as uncharacterized. The record is from RefSeq and is a predicted model, not a curated record. Lineage: Eukaryota; Metazoa; Chordata; Actinopteri; Kurtiformes; Apogonidae. The transcript has 24 exons.
CCGGUCCCUUCUUGGUAGGAGCUUUUAAGGCGCCUCAGAGUUACUGCUUGUUACGAAAAAAAAAAAAGAAAAAAGAAAAGAAAAGACAAUAAAAUUCAGCAAAACAAGGUGGUUCAACAUGAAGGUGGGACAUUCACUCUUCACAUAUCAGUGCCUUUUCUACAUAACAGAAAUAUUGUCCUUAUUUUCUGGAGAUUAUAUACUCAUAGAAACAUAGCUAUGGAUAUUAUAUUCUUUUUAUUUUGAUCCACUUGAGUUUGUAUUCUAUUUGUUGGUUGCUUGGAUCCCCUAUCUAUAAGCACUCUUGCUUCUUUGGGGUUCCCUUUCAUGUAUAUCUGUUGUAAAAUGCUCAUGUAUAUAUAUUUUUCUUUCUCUGUGCAUGAAUAAAAAAAAAUAUCUGAAUCUUACACACUGAACUCACAGUUACAGCUAGUUAGCUUAGCAUAGCUUAGUUUAACACUGAGAGAACACAAAUCCACUACUCACUGGGGUCAUCAUUUUAUCUUAACAUAUCAUACAUGCAUGAAAUGUAUUGUAAAUUUGCUGUUAUACAUUUUUUUCUUUUUUCUUCAAGAAAAGCAAUAAAAAUGUGAUAAAAAAAAAAGCUAUCAUCAUUGUAACAAAAGCUACCACUGGCUGUUUGUUUAUCUAUCUAUCUAUCUAUCUAUCUAUCUAUCUAUCUAGCUGUCUAGCUGUCUAGCUAUAUCUCUGUCUGUCCGUCCGUCCAGACAAACAGUAAGCAAGAAAAAAGGGGAAGGUGAUGAACAUUCUUUAGUUUUGUGUAUGAGAAACUCAACACUACACUACAGUUGAUCUAAAUACAAAGCACUUAUUGGGUCUUUUCAGUGGUGUCACUGGUGUGGGAGGCAUUUUUCACCUCUGUCUGUGGUUUUCCUGAGUGAAUCAGACAGUGACAAGUGAUCUGUAGUUUGUGUAGUCAGAAAAACCAGUUUAGCCUUUAAAGGACUUCAGGACAUUUACAUUUUUAUGCUUUUAUCAUGGCUGGACAUCUGCUGAUACUCAUCCUCACAUAUUUAGCUUUUGAAGUAAAAGGACAAAUUCUUCGUGCACCUAAACUGUUGGUUGAUCCUCCAGUGAUCACAGAGAAAGCCACAGUUACAUUAAACUGUCAGACUCCAUCACCUGUAUCUCAGUGUUUCUACAUUAUUGGAGGAAAACCUGCUAAACAGUUUUCAUGUCUGAAGAAACUGACAGGAACUGAGCUGUUGUCAAUUGUGAAACAAAGUCCACCAACUGAGAUUAAAGUAAAAUGUUUUUACCUUCAAACAUCUGCAUCGCCACACAGUGACUCAUUCUCCAUCACCAUUCAACCUCUUUUUCCACCUACACUGAUCAUCGAUCCUCCAGUGAUCACAGAGACAGACUCAGUUACAUUAAACUGUCAGACUCCUUCAUCUGUGUCUGUAUCCAGGUGUUAUUUCUACACAUUAAGUGGAAGAAUUUUAGGAGACUCAUCAUGUGUACAGACACUGAAAGGGGCUGAACUGAUGGUGAAUAAACAUCUUCCUGCUGAAGUUAAACUAAAAUGUUAUUACAGUGUAAACCACGGGGAGGCUGAUUCUCCAUCUCCACACAGUGCCUUUACAUCUGUCACUGUACAAAGUCAAAAACCACAUAAAAGUGUUCUUCGUGGUGAAAGUGUUGUCAUUGUGUGUUCACUACCUGGAUCUGUGAAGGAUGACACACGAUGUAACCUGUACUUUGGAGAAUCAACUCGUCCCCAAAUAACAGCAACUACCUGGGGAAGAAAGACCUCAAACAAACAGAGGAUCUGCCAGUUUUUUAUCCCAGUGAAUGAGUUGUUGAGAUUCCUUGAUGUAGUCCAGAAGAAAGAUGUGAGCUGUGAUUACAGUUUGUCAGACAGCUCUGUGUCUCCUCGUAGUGAUGGAUUCAGUUUGACUGAUAUUGUCAACACAGAGUCCAACAAGAAACCAGGUCUCACAAUGACACCAGAACUAGUGACUGAUUUUACAAAUGUACCGACCUCUGAUGCUUCUCCUCUAAACCCAACAUCAGAACACAACACUGCAGAAAUUAUGACUGAUCCUACCAUCAGUCUGACCUCUGCUGCUCUACAUCCAACAUCAGAACACAAACCUACAGAUCAGACACCUCUGUGUACUUCUAAAGUGAGUGUUUUGAAUGUGACCCAACAAAAGCAAGACUCAAGUAAUAAAGAAACAGUAACAUGGAUAUUGAAGUGGGUAAUAUUAGUGGCUGCCUGUGGAGUCAUUCUGGGAGUCAUCUCUCUGGGACUGGCAUUUUGUUGCAAUAAAGGAAAAAAUGACAAGCACAUUCACAAGAGGCCACAAGCAAAAGGGAACGGCGACUUAAUGCUCACAACACAACUUCACUGUGGAGAAAUGGGAAAGGAUCCUCCUGCUAACAACACAGCCUACAGUCAGAUCACCUGUGUACCUGGUUCUGAAAUGUUGAAUGAGCAAAAGCCUCAAAAUACAGAUCCUGAUAUAUACCAUGUUUAUGCCACUAUCCCUGAGGAUCAAACCUCACCUGCUCAUGGACUGGUUCUUUGUGCACCUAAACCGUUGGUUGAUCCUCCAGUGAUCACAGAGAAAGCCACAGUUACUGUCAUCUGAGUGUUUCUACAUUAUUGGAGGAAAUCCUGCCAGACAGUUUUCCUGUGUGAAGAAACUGACAGAAACUGAACUGUUGUCAAUUGUGGAACAAAGUCCACCAGCUGAGAUUAAUGUAAAAUGUUUUUACCUUUACACAUCUGCAUCAUCAUACAGUGGCACGUUCUCCAUCACCAUUCAACCUCUUUUUCCACCUACACUGAUCAUUGAUCCUCCAGUGAUCACAGAGACAGACUCAGUUACAUUAAACUGUCAGACUCCUUCAUCUGUGUCUGUAUCCUGGUGUUAUUUCUACACAUUAAGUGGAAGAAAUUUAGGAGACUCAUCAUGUGUACAGACACUGACAGGGACUGAUCUGAUGGUGGAUCAACGUCCUCCUGCUGAAGUUAAACUAAAAUGUAGUUACAUAGUAAACCAAGGAGAGACUGAUUCUCCAUCUCCACACAGUGCCUUUACAUCUGUCACUGUACAAAGUCAAAAACCACAUAUAAGUGUUAAUCGUGGUGAAUGUUUUGUCAUUGUGUGUUCACUACCUUAACCUGUGAAGGAUUACACACGAUGUAACCUGUACUUUGGAGAAUCAACUUGUCCCCAAAUAACAGCAACCGCCUGGGGAAAAAAGACCUCAAACAAACAGAGGAUUUGCCAGUUUUCCGUCCCAGUGAAUGAAUUGUUGAGAUACCUUGAUGUAGUCCAGAAGAAAGAUGUGAGCUGUGAUUACAGUUUGUCAGACAGCUCUGUGUCUCCUCGUAGUGAUGGAUACAGUUUGACUGAUAUUGUCAACACAGAGUCCAACAAGAAACCAGUUCUCACAAUGACACCAGAACUAGUGACUGAUUUUACAAACAUACUGACCUCUGAUGCGUCUCCUCUAAACCCGACAUCAGAAUACAACACUGCAGAAAUAAUGACUGAUCCCACCAUCAGUCUGACCUCUGCUGCUCCUCCAUAUCCAACAUCAGAACACAAAUCUACAGAAUAACAAAUACAACCAGAAUCACACCAAAGGAGGGAGCUCAUCAGUCCAGACCCACCGUGUGC